CUAAACGUGAUGAUCAGGAGAGUAAAGUCAGGGUAAUCUUAAGCGAGCCGCUGGAUGGUGUGAAGCGGUGGUGAGCCUGGCUGGAAAGUAGCCUGAGAACUGCUAAUGCGACGAGCUGGAGUGUUAGCUGGGUGCCCCCAUUAACGGGCCAACGUAUCGUCAGUUAACAUUACUGUUUGGGGAAACCCGUCAUCGGUGUUGGUAAUUGGCCGUACGCGCAAAGGUGACGAGCUGCGGUUCGUGACGAAUUAAGGUGGUACCACGCGUUAGCGUCCUUACA
This 280-nucleotide non-coding RNA is filed under the name Lactiplantibacillus plantarum. Its description in RNAcentral is "Lactobacillus plantarum T-box sequence". It matches the Rfam family "T-box leader". Rfam says of the family: Uncharged tRNA acts as the effector for transcription antitermination of genes in the T-box leader family. T-boxes are found upstream of many aminoacyl-tRNA synthetase genes and some amino acid biosynthetic genes usually in Gram-positive bacteria. The record is from RNAcentral. Lineage: Bacteria; Bacillati; Bacillota; Bacilli; Lactobacillales; Lactobacillaceae.